RNAcentral lists this transfer RNA (60 nucleotides) under Mesobuthus gibbosus (Mediterranean checkered scorpion). RNAcentral describes it as "transfer RNA-Gln". Lineage: Eukaryota; Metazoa; Arthropoda; Arachnida; Scorpiones; Buthidae. The record is from RNAcentral.
UCAACACUGGUGUUAAAUAGGCACGUUGGGGUUUGGAUCCAGAGGGAAUAGAGAAAAUAU